AUGAAAUACUCCUAUAUUGAUCAAUGCCGUAGCAUGGAAAAUAUGCUCAGUCCAAGAAAAUACUGGUCGGAAGCGAAAAUCAUUUGGAAGCAUAAUAAGAAUAAUAAUGUUUGCUCUUCUUUGUGGAUCAUGCCCACAUCUUUUGCACCAUUCAUAAACAAAAAAUAUCCACUAACCAGACAAACAUUCAUAAUUCAUAUUUCAUACCACAGCCAACACCACACAGACAGUGCUCAACAUGCUACCAAGUAUUCUAUACGGAAAAUCAAUACGGGUUCACAACACCUAAGGGGACCAUAA
Molecule: ribosomal RNA, 300 nt
Filed under: Triticum aestivum (bread wheat)
Lineage: Eukaryota; Viridiplantae; Streptophyta; Magnoliopsida; Poales; Poaceae
Description: partial small subunit ribosomal RNA
Source: RNAcentral